AUCAUGGGAGGACCACAAUGCUGGAGGAAAUGCAAAACUCCGAAAUUUAAACUAGUACCGAUGGACCAUGGCAGGGAUGAAAAACUAACAAAACGGUCUUUUUACAAUUCGGAUAAGAAGAAAGUGAGAGAUGGGACCCGUAUCACUACGAAACAAGAAAUCUGUAGGGAGAAAUAGCUAAUGGGAAGCCGGGGAUUCGGAUCGAAUUUGUAAACUCGACCAAUUGGGAAACAGAUAAGCCUCUCUGAGGGCCCGAAAGUACGGUCCUCUCUCUCUCUCCUCCCCAAAAGUGCAGAUCCAAGAGCUGCCUUCGCUGUUUUAUGCUCUGUAAAAGCACCGGUUGUGGGGCAUGCACUCCCACCCUAAUUAUUUCUUGCGCUUUUCACUUAUAUAAAAGUGCAUUUUAGCAGACAGUUGCUACUCUCGAAUUCGCACUAUUUAACUGUACUCUCUCAGAAAAAGCUUUUGGGAUUUCAAAUUUUGUGUCGAAUUUUGUUUUCUUUGAUGAAUUCUAGCAAGAAAGUGGCAAACGCCGUCGGCGGUAAAACUGCCCGAGCGUGUGACAGCUGCAUAAAAAAGAGAGCUCGUUGGUACUGCGCUGCCGACGACGCUUUCUUAUGCCAAGCCUGCGACUCCGCCGUGCACUCAGCCAACCAGUUGGCCCAUCGGCACAAAAGAGUUCUCUUGAAGACGGCGUCGUCGCUCAAACCUAGCAACAAAGAUGAUCGAGCGAGCGCUGUUUCGGAGACCUCAGCGGCACCGUCUUGGCACCGCGGGUUCACGCGGAAGGCACGGACACCGAGAGGCGGGAAGUCCAUGACACAUCAUGGAAAAUCCCAGGAUGGCGUCCGGAACCUGUUUCCGCAGGUUCCGGAAGUUGGGGGAGAUGAUAAUAACUCGUACGAUGAAGAAAAUACAGAGGACCAGCAGCUGCUUUAUAGGGUUCCGAUAUUCGAUCCGUUUGUUGCGGAGCUUUGCAAUAACUCUGAUAAUUCUAAGGAAGAUGCAGUUCCUAAUUAUGAAGCUACCAAUCUUAUUACUGUUUCUGAUCAUGUCGGAAGCGAAUCAAAAGCAGUUUCGUCUUUGCCGAAUUUUAACGGCCACGAUGCGUUUCUGCCUCCGAGCGACAUGGAUCUUGCGGAGUUCGCGGCUGACGUGGAUAGUUUGCUGGGGAGAGGCCUUGAUGAUGACGAGUGUUUUGGGAUGGAAAGGUUAGGGUUGAUGGAUUGUAAAAAAAAGGAAUCGAAUGGUAGAGUGAAGCUUGAGGAGGAUGAUGAUCAAGAGGGAACAGACAACGUUGAUUUUAUGGGGUGCCAAUUAGGGGAGAGUGAGAUUGACAUGAUGAGGGAGCCGUUUGCAUUGAAUAUUGAAGAUUACGAUGACUCGCCAGCAUCGUGCGGUGAGCAGGAUGACAAACUGAGAGUGGGAAUCUAUAGUAAUUGUAGUACAGAAGAUCAUGAACGUGAGGAGGCUGACGACGAUGCAACAGAUAACAGCAAGAAGAGGAAGAUGAUUUUGAGGCUGGAUUACGAGGCGGUAAUUACAGCCUGGGAUGGCUCCCCGUGGACCUCCGGUGACCGCCCGGAUUUCGACUCCGAAUGCUUGCCUGACUACAUGAGUGCAUGUGGAGCUGAACUUCAUUACCCUUAUGGGGAUAUGAACGGGCUUGGAAUUCACCCGGCAAUGGCGGACGGAGGGAGGGAGGCGAGGGUGUCGAGAUAUAGAGAAAAGAGGAGGACAAGGCUGUUCUCGAAGAAAAUAAGGUACGAAGUUCGAAAGCUGAAUGCCGAGAAGAGACCAAGAAUGAAAGGGAGGUUUGUCAAGAAAGCAUCCUUUGCAGGAUCUGCUUUUCCCGUGCCUGCCAGAUGAACGUCCCUCCCGCCCGGUGGUUGAGUCCAUAGUUUACCUCAUAGUAAACUUGAGUUUGUGUAUACAUGCACAAGCAGGGGCAGAAUGUGUGAAAGCAAAGAAGAAGACAGCCGAUGAAAUUAGGACAAGGAAGAAGGGCAAAUGAUUACCUGGCACGUGACACGCACGAGCUCUGGACGGCCUCACAGUCGAACACUCCAGAUCGGCAGGAGUCCGAAAACAAGUUUGAUGUACGGAUUGCCUUGGUUUAAUUCCUGGAUUGGACAUUGUGAGUGGCC
This is an RNA transcript of Malus domestica (apple), 2147 nucleotides long. It is a transcript of the gene named zinc finger protein CONSTANS-LIKE 6-like, with no coding region annotated. The record is from RefSeq and is a predicted model, not a curated record. NCBI's taxonomy places the organism in Eukaryota, Viridiplantae, Streptophyta, Magnoliopsida, Rosales, Rosaceae.